AACCUUAUGGACCUGCGGGCGUAUACCUGCGGAGGGAUCAUUAAAGAGAAAACUGCCCUUUGGGUAGAUCUCCCACCCUUUGUUUACCUUACCUUUGUUGCUUUGGCAGGCCCGUCUUCUGACUACCGGCUUUUAGCUGGUCCGUGCCUGCCAGAGGACCCCCAACUCUUGAUUUCGAGUUGUCCGAGUCUUAUAUAAUAGUAAAAACUUUCAACAACGGAUCUCAGAUCGGAAGAGCAC
RNAcentral lists this unclassified non-coding RNA (240 nucleotides) under soil metagenome. Its description in RNAcentral is "partial contains 5.8S ribosomal RNA, internal transcribed spacer 2, and large subunit ribosomal RNA". The record is from RNAcentral.